AGCAGUCGCCGCGGUAAAACGUAGGGUGCAAGCGUUAAUCAGAAUUAUUGGGCGUAAAGGGUGCGUAGGCGGUUUGAUAAGUCAUCUGUGAAAUCUCUGGGCUCAACCCAGAGUCUGCAGGCGAAACUGUCGGGCUUGAGUAUGGGAGAGGUGAGUGGAAUUUCCGGUGUAGCGGUGAAAUGCGUAGAUAUCGGAAGGAACACCUGUGGCGAAAGCGGCUCACUGGACCAUAACUGACGCUGAUGCACGAAAGCUAGGGGAGCAAACAGGAUUAGAUACCCCCGUAGUCCCUGUCUCUUAUAC
RNAcentral lists this ribosomal RNA (303 nucleotides) under uncultured bacterium. RNAcentral describes it as "partial 16S ribosomal RNA". It matches the Rfam family "Bacterial small subunit ribosomal RNA", at positions 507 to 807 of the family's 1533-position model. The record is from RNAcentral.